RNAcentral lists this long non-coding RNA (8030 nucleotides) under Homo sapiens (human). Its description in RNAcentral is "non-protein coding LINC02015:20". Lineage: Eukaryota; Metazoa; Chordata; Mammalia; Primates; Hominidae. The record is from RNAcentral.
AAGGUGUUGGCCAAUCAUCAAAUAUUGUCACUCCAAAGAACACAUUUAACAGCCGGGAAGAAAAUUGUAGGAAAAGAGAGCACUUUGGCACGGAAGGGAAUGCAAACUUGAUCUUGACUUUAAGGUCAAAGCAUUUUCAGAAUGUGCAGUCAGCAGAGAAUUGAAAAAAAAAAUCAAUGUGAAACAUAUUAGAGAAGAAUAAGGGGAAGAGUGAUGCAGAAGUGCUGGGAAGUCAUGCAGGGAUUGGAAACCACAAAGAUUCUACAGAAAGGUCUAUCGCCCUGGUUGGAGUGCAGCAGUGUAAUCAUAGCUCACUGCUGCCAUGAACUUCUGGGCUCAAGCGAUCCUCCCACCUCAGCCUCCCUGUGUGCUGGGAUUAAAAGUGUGAGCCACCGUGCCUCAUCGUAAGGGUCUUAAAAGAAACCCUAUUUCAUACUUUCUUGAUGCACUUGAUAUGGAUUAUAUAAAUCUAUGGACAAAAAUGACAUCAGUACAAUGGAAUAUUGGAGUUUUCUACCAUAAUCUCUGCAUAGUGCACUGAUUUUGACAAUCACCUAUGGAUGAAAAUACAUUUGCCAGAGUCUAGGAGUUAAAUGGAAAAGUUAACAGCACACCGUUGGAGAAAAAUAUCUGGGAGUAGAUGCAUUCAAGGGAGUAAGAAGAACAAUUACCUGCAUCACCUCACCCCCAGGGUCCACUUCUUAGUGCCAAGAUAGACUCCCUUCAGCAGGCAAUUUCUCCCAUGGGGAAAAGGAGAGUAUAAUGAGUUUGCUUUCCAUAUGCUGGAUGAUGUGUGUGGAUUUUCAGUGUGUGUUUCAGAGUCUUAAAAGCUCAUGCUAGCUUGCUUAACAUACCUGCCAUAACUCAUGAUAUAGAACCCUAUGGAGAACUGUGUUGCAACAUGGAUGCAGUGCCUAUACUAAGGCACAUUGCCAAGCUGAAGACUGUCAGAGAGCAUCACUAACGGAGCCUCUGCUGGUGAUACCCAGGCAAACAGGAGCCAGAGUGGACCUCCAGGAAUCUCCAGAAGACCUGCAGCAGAGAGGCCCGACUGUUAGAAGGAAAAAUAACAAACAGAAAGGAAUAGCAUCAACAUUAACAAAAAAGGAUGUCCACACAGAAACCCCAUCCAAAAGUCACCAACAUCAAAGACCAAAGGUAGAUAAAUCCACGAAGAUGAGGAAAAACCAGUGUAAAAAGGCUGAAAAUUCCGAAAACCAGAACGUCUUUUCUCUUCCAAAGGAUCACAACUUCUUGCCAGCAAGGGAACAAAACUGGAUGGAGAAUGAUUUUGGCUAACAGACAGAAGUAGGUUUCAGAAGGUGGGUAAUAACAAACUCCUCUGAGCUAAUGGAGCAUGUUCUAAUCCAAUGGAAAAAAGCUAUGAACCUUGAUAAAAGGUUAGAGGAAUUGUUAACUAGAAUAACCAGUUUAGAGAAGAACAUAAAUGACCUGAUGGAGCUGAAAAACACAGCAUGAGAACUUCGUGAAGCAUAUACAAGUAUUAAUAGCUGAAUCGAUCGAGCGGAAGAAAGGAUAUCAGAAUUGAAGAUCAACUUAAUGAAAUAAAACAUGAAGCCAAGAUUAGAGAAAAAAGAAUGAAAAGGAACAAACAAAGCUACAAGAAAUAUGGGACUAUGUGAAAAGACCAAACCUGUUUGAUUGGUGUGCCUGAAAGUGACAGGGAGAAUGAAACCAAAUUGGAAAACACUCUUCAGGAUAUUAUCCAGGAGAAGUUCCCCAGUCUAGCAAGAUGGGCCAACAUUCAAAUUCAGGAAAUACAGAGAACACCACAAAGAUACUCUUCGAGAAGAGCAACCCCAAGACACAUAAUCGUCAGAUUCACCAAGGUUAAAAUGGAGGAAAACAUGUUAAAGGCAGCCAAAAUAAAGGUCUGGUUACCCACAAAGGGAAGCCCAUCAAACUAACAGUGGAUCUCUUGGCAGAAACCCUACAAGCCAGAAGAGAGUGGGGGCCAAUAUUCAACAUUCUCAAAGAAAAGGAUGUUCAACCCAGAAUUUUUUAUCCAGUCAAACUAAGCUUCAUAAAUGAAGGAGAAAUAAAACCCUUUACAGACAAGCAAAUGCUGAGAGAUUUUGUCACCAGAUGUGCCUUACAGGAGCUCUUGAAGGAAGCACUAAAUAUGGAAAGGAAAAACCAGUACUAGCCACUGCACAAACAUACCAAAUUGUAAAGACAAUCGACACUGAAGAAACUGCAUCAACUAACGGGUAAAAUAACCAGCUAGCAUCAUAAUGACAGCAUCAGAUUCACACAUAAUCAUAUUAACCUUAAAUGUAAAGGGGCUAAAUGCCCCAAUUAAAAGACACAGAUGGCAAAUUGGAUAGAACCAAGAGCCAUCAGUAUGCUGUAUUCAGGAGACCCAUCUCAUGUGCAAAGACACAAAUAGGCCCAAAAUAAAGGGAUGGAGGAAUAUUUAAACAAAACAAAUGGAAAGCAAAAAACAAAAAGAAAACAAAAAAGCAGGGGUUGCAAUUCUAGUCUCUGGUAAAACAGACUUUAAACCAACAAAGAUCAAAAAAGAAAAAGAAGGGCAUUAUGUAAUAGUAAAGGGAUCAAUGCAACAAGAAGAGCUAACUAUCCUAAAUAUAUAUGCAUCCAAUACAGAAGAAUCCAGAUUCAUAAAGCAAGUUCUUAGAGACCUACAAAGAGACUUAGAGUCCCACACAAUAAUAGUGGGAGACCUAACACCCCACUGUCAAUGUUAGACAGAUCAACAAGACAGAAAAUUAAUAAGGAUAUUCAGGACUUGAACUCAACUCUGGAUCAAGCAGAAGUAAUAGAUAUCUACAGAACUCUCCACCCCAAAUCAACAGAAUAUACAUUCUUCUCUGCACCACAUAGCACUUACUCUAAAAUUGACCACAUAUUUGGAAGUAAAAUAUUCCUCAGCAAAUGCAAAAGAACUAAAUGAUAACACAGUCUCUCAGACCACAGUGCAAUCUAAUUAGAACUCAGGAUUAAGAAACUCACUCAAAACUGCACAACUACAUGGAAACUGAACAACUGCUCCUGAAUGACUACUGGGUUAAUAAUGAAAUUAAGGCAGAAAUAAAUAACAGUUCUUUGAAACCAAUAAGAACAAAGACACAAUGAUGCAGAAUGUUUGGGACACAGCUAAAGCAGUGUUUAGAGAGAAAUUUAUAGCACUAAAUGGGAAAGAUCUAAAGUUGACACCCUAACAUCACAAUUACAAGAACUAGAGAAACAAGAGCAAACAAAUUCAAAAGCUAGCAGAAGACAAGAAAUAACUAAGAUGAGAGCAGAACUGAAGGAGAUAGAGACACGAAAAACUUCAAAAAUCAAUGAAUCCAAGAGGUGUUUUUUUUAAAGAUUAACAAAAUAGAUAGACUGCUAGCCAGACUAAUAAAGAAGAAAAGAGAGAAGAAUCAAAUAGAUGCAAUAAAAAAUGAUAAAGGGGAUAUCACCACUGAUCCCACAGAAAUACAAACUACUAUCAGAGAAUACUAUAAAUACCUCUACACAAAUAAACUAGAAAAUCUAGAAGAAAUGGAUAAAUUCCUGGACACAUACACCCUCCCAAGACUAAACCAGGAAGAAGUCGAAUCCCUGAAUAGACCAAUAACAAGUUCUGAAACAGAGGUAGUAAUUAAUAGCCUUCCAACCAAAAUAAAUCCCAGGACCAGAAGGAUUCAGAGCCGAAUUCUACCAGAGAUACAAAGAGGAGCUGGUACCAUUCCUUCUGAAACUAUUCCAAACAACAGAAAAAGACGACUCAUCCCUAACUCAUUUUAUGAGGCCAUCAUCAUCCUGAUACCAAAACCUGGCAGAGACACAACAAAACAAGAAAAUUUCAAGCCAAUAUCCCUGAUGAACAUCAAUGAGAAAAUCCUCAAUAAAAUACUGGCAAACCGAAUCCAGCAGCAUAUCAAAAAGCUUAUCCACCAUGAUCAAGUCGGCUUCAUCCCUGAGAUGUGAGAGUGUUUCAACAUACUCAGAUUAAUAAAUGUAAUCCAUCACAUAAACAGAAGCAAUGACAAAAACCACAUGAUUAUCUCAAUAAAUGGAGAAAAAGCCUUCGAUAAAAUUCAACACCCCUUCAUGCUAAAAACUCUGAAUAAACUCGGUUUUGAUGGAAUGUAUCUCAAAAUAAUAAGAGCUAUUUAUGACAAACCCACAGCCAAUAUCAUACUGAAUGGGCAAAAGCUGGAAGCAUUCCCUUUGAAAACCAGCAGAAGACAAGGAUGCCCUCUCUCACCACUCCUAUUCAACAUAGUAUUGAAAGUUCUGGCCAGGGCAAUCAGGCAAGAGAGAGAAAUAAAGGAUAUUCAAAUAGGAAGAGAGGAAGUAAAAUUGUCUCUCUUUGCAGAUGCCAUGACUGUUCAUUUAGAAAACCCCAUUGUCUCAGCCCAAAAUCUCCUUAAGCUGAUAAGCAACUUCAGCAAAACUUCACAAAAUCAAUGUGCAAAAAUCACAAGCAUUCCUAUACACCAAUAAUAGACAAACACAGAGCCAAAUCAUGAGUGAACUCCCAUUCACUAUUGCUACAAAGAGAAUAAAAUAUCUAGGAAUGCACCUUACCAGGGAUGUGAAGGACCUCUUCAAGGAGAACUACAAAACACUGCUCAAGGAAAUAAGAGAGGACACAAACAAAUGGAAUGUUAUCCCCAUCAAGCUACCAUUGACUUUCUUCACAGAAAUUGAAAAAACUACUUCAAAUUUCAUAUGGAAUCAAAAAAGAGCCUGCAUAGCCACGACAAUCCUAAGCAAAAAGAACAAAGCUGGAGGCAUCACACUACCUGACCUGAAACUAUACUACAAGGCUACAGUAACCAAAACAGCAUGGUACUGGUACUAAAACAGAUAUGUGGACCAAUGGAACAGAGCAGAGGUCUCAGAAAUAACACCACACAUCUACAAUCAUAUGAUCUUUGACAAACCUGACAAAAGCAAACUAUGGGGAAAGGAUUUCCUAUUUAAUAAUUGGUGUUGGGAAAACUGGCUAGCCAUAUGCAGAAAACUGAAAGUGGACCCCUUCCUUACACUUUAUACAAAAAUUAACUCAAGAUGGAUUAAAGACUUAAACGUAAGACCUAAAACCAUAAACCCUAGAAGAAAACCUAGGCAAUACCAUUCAGGACAUAGGCACGGGCAAAGACUUCAUGACUAAAACACCAAAAUCAAUGGCAACAAAAGCCAAAAUUGACAAAUGGGGUCUAAUUAAACUAAAGAGCUCCUGCACAGCAAAAGAAACUAUCAUCAGGGUGAACAAGCAACCUACAGAAUGGGAGAAAAUUUUUGCAAUCUAUUCAUCUGACAAAGGGCUAAUAUCCAGAAUCUACAAAAAAUUUAAACAGAUUUACAAGAAUGAAACAACCCCAUCAAAAAGUGGGUGAAGGAUAUUAACAGACACUUCUCAAAAGAAGACAUUUAUGUGGCCAACAAACAUUUGAAAAAAAGCUCAUCAUCACUGGUCAUUAGAGAAAUGCAAAUCAAAACCACAAUGAGAUACCAUCGCACUCCAGUUAGAAUGGCGAUCAUUAAAAAGUCAGGAAACAACAGAUGCUGCAGAGGAUGUGGAGAAAUAGAAACACUUUUACACUGUUGGUGGGAGUGUAAUUAGUUCAACCAUUGUGGCAGACAGUGUGGCGAUUCCUCAAGGAUCUAGAACCAGAAAUAUCAUUUGACCCAGCAAUUUCAUUACUGGGUAUAUACCUAAAGGAUUAUAGUCAUUCUACUAUAAAGACCCAUGCGCGCGCACACACACACACACACACACACACACACACAUAUAUUUUGAUAAAAAGUAAACUUUAAUGUCGAAAAUGCAAACUUGGGGAGUGCAGAAGUAUCACACGCAAGGCUGUCACUUCACACUUGGAGAGUUUCACAGCGCCCAGGCAGAGGUGCUCCUUACAUCCCAGAUGAUGCGGGGGCCGGGCAGAGCCGCUCCUCACUUCCCAGAGGGUGGGCGAUGGGCAGAGGUGCUCCUCACUUCCCAGAUGGUGGGCAGCUGGGCAGAAGCACUCCUCACUUCCUAGACAGGGCAGUGGCCAGGCAGAGGGGCUCCUCACUUCCCAGUCAGUUGGGUGGCCAGACAGAGGCGCUCCUCACUUUCCAGACAGGGCGGCAGCCAGAGAGAGGUGCUCCUCACUUGCCAGAUGGGGCAGCAGCCAGGCAGAGGCACUCCUCAUUUGCUAGAUGGUGGGGCCGCCGGGCAGAGGGGCAUUUCACUUCCCAGACAGGGCAGCAGCCAGGUAGAGGAGGCACACGUAUUUUUAUUGCCGCACUGUUCACAAUAGCAAAGACUUGGAGCCAAUCCAAAUGCCAAUCAAUGAUAGACUGGAUAAAGAAAAUGUGGCACAUAUACACCAUGGAACACUAUGCAGCCAUAAAAAAGCAUGACUUCAUGUCCUUUGCAGGGACAUGGAUGAAGCUGGAAACCAUCAUUCUCAGCAAACUAACACAGGAACAGAAAACCAAACACCACAUGUUCUCACUCAUAAGUGAGAGCUGAACAAUGAGAACACAUGGAUACAGGGAGGGGGCCAUCACACACUGGGGCCUGUUGGUGGGUAGGGGGCGAGAGGAGGGAUAGCAUUAGGAGAAAUACCUAAUGUAGAUGAUGGGUUGAUGGGUACAGCAAACCAAGAUGACAUGUGUAUACCUAUGUAACAAACCUGCACGUUCUGCACAUGUAUCCCAGAACUUAAAUUAUAAUAAACUAAAUAAAUAAAAAUUCUGAUAUUUUUAAUCCAAGAGGGGUAAAGAUGGGAAAAUAAGAAGACAAAUACAGUCAUGCUCUGCAUAAUGAGGUUUCAUUCAACAAUGGAGCACAUAUACAAUGGUGGUCCCAUAAGAUUACAAUAUCAAGUUGGUGCAAACAUAAUUGUAGUUUUUGCAAUUACUUUUAAUAGCAAAAACCACAAUUACAUUCGCAUGAACCUAAUAAAAUAUUUUUACUGUAACAUUUCUAUGGUUAGAUAUAUUUGUAUACACAAAUAGUUGCCACUGUGUUGCAAUUGCCUACAGUAUUCAGCACAGUAACAUGUUGUACCAAUUUGUAGUGUGUAGUAGACUAUACCAUCUAGGUGUGUGUAAUUACAAUCACUCUAUGAUGUUUGCACAACCGCAAAAUCACCUAAUAAUGUAUUUCUCAGAUUGUAUCACAUCAUGAAGUAAUGUAUGACUAUAAUCAUAUAUAUGAUGGUGGCAAGGGAACACAAUCACUAUGUCAUCUCCAGAUGCUUUGAGCCAAUAGUUUUUCUUGUUUCUUUUUCUAUGUCAACAAAAAAUUGUGAAGUUUUAAAUAAUUUCUCAAGAUUAAUAGUAAUAACAUAUUUCACAAUUUAUUGAGCUGACUUCAUGUACUUUAAAAAUUUCUCUCAUAUUUUCAACAACUGCAACUUUCGGACUUCUAGAAAGCUCAAAGAGAUGAACAGUCCAUGUACUGACCUGUUCCUGAUUUCUACAGCCUCACCUCUGCCACCACAUCUGCCUCUUACACAUCUCUAUGUUUUUGGUUUACAACUUGAUGUAAGAUGGUAGGUGGUGGGUCGAGUUCUGGGAGAUUCCUGAAAAAUGUAGCCUUAAUGAGAGAAAUCAACAUAUAUUCCAAAAAUUAGGGGUUUAGUAGUGAGGAAUGGGUGGUUUCAUCUUCAUUUGCCUUUCCUUGUAUAUUUUGUACACUUCUUAAAACUAAAAUUGUAAUACAACUGCAUUAAGGGUGAUUGGAAUUUAGGGACUGCAGAGGGGAAAAAGACAGCAUCUGGUUUGAUGUACUGUAAAUCUCAGGGAAUCUAACCAAUGGUAUGUUUAUUAAAAUUAUAAUCUGUACUUUUCCUAGAAGCGGUAGUUAAUGCAAGAAUUAAACAUUUGUAAAUAUUGCAUAGUGAAUUCAUUUUUGAAAAAGUUUGCUAUGAGUUCUUCACAGAAAUUAUAUGGGUAUCUAACUCAGGAUGUUCCUGCAGCCUAAAGCAGUAUACCGAAUCCUAAGUCUACACUAAAAUUUGAAGUGAAUGUCUAGAUCCAUCCUUAGGGUAGGGGCA